GUCCACGCCCUAAACGAUGUCAACUGGGUGUUGGGGAAGUGAUUCCUUGGUACCAUAGCUAACGCGUGAAGUUGACCGCCUGGGGAGUACGGCCGCAAGGUUAAAACUCAAAGGAAUUGACGGGGACCCGCACAAGCGGUGGAUGAUGUGGAUUAAUUCGAUGCAACGCGAACAACCUUACCUACCCUUGACAUGUCCGGAAGCCUGGUGAGAGCUGGGUGUGCCCGAAAGGGAAUCGGAACACAGGUGCUGCAUGGCUGUCGU
Molecule: ribosomal RNA, 264 nt
Filed under: uncultured bacterium
Lineage: Bacteria
Description: partial 16S ribosomal RNA
Rfam family: Bacterial small subunit ribosomal RNA
Source: RNAcentral